This 469-nucleotide ribosomal RNA is filed under the name uncultured bacterium. RNAcentral's name for it is "partial 16S ribosomal RNA". It matches the Rfam family "Bacterial small subunit ribosomal RNA", at positions 28 to 507 of the family's 1533-position model. The record is from RNAcentral.
GACGAACGCUGGCGGCGUGCUUAACACAUGCAAGUCGAACGGAAAGGCCCUGCUUGCAGGGUGCUCGAGUGGCGAACGGGUGAGUAACACGUGGGUGAUCUGCCCCUUACUUUGGGAUAAGCCUGGGAAACUGGGUCUAAUACUGGAUAGGACCAUGCUGUAGGUGGUGUGGUGGAAAGAUUAGUUUCGGUAAGGGAUGAGCUCGCGGCCUAUCAGCUUGUUGGUGGGGUAAUGGCCUACCAAGGCGUCGACGGGUAGCCGGCCUGAGAGGGGGGACGGCGACAUUGGGACUGAGGUACGGCCCAGACUCCUACGGGAGGCAGCAGUGGGGAAUAUUGCACAAUGGGCGCAAGCCGGAUGCAGCGACGACGCGUGGGGGAUGACGGCCUUCGGGUUGUAAACUCCUUUCAGCCAUGACGAAGCCCUUGUGGUGACGGUAGUGGUAGAAGAAGCACCGGCUAACUACGUG